Molecule: ribosomal RNA, 235 nt
Filed under: uncultured Staphylococcus sp.
Lineage: Bacteria; Bacillati; Bacillota; Bacilli; Caryophanales; Staphylococcaceae
Description: partial 16S ribosomal RNA
Rfam family: Bacterial small subunit ribosomal RNA
Source: RNAcentral
GGGUGAGUAACACGUGGAUAACCUACCUAUAAGACUGGAUAACUUCGGGAAACCGGAGCUAAUACCGGAUAAUAUUUUGAACCGCAUGGUUCAAAAGUGAAAGACGGUCUUGCUGUCACUUAUAGAUGGAUCCGCGCUGCAUUAGCUAGUUGGUAAGGUAACGGCUUACCAAGGCAACGAUGCAUAGCCGACCUGAGAGGGUGAUCGGCCACACUGGAACUGAGACACGGUCCAG